Molecule: ribosomal RNA, 263 nt
Filed under: uncultured bacterium
Lineage: Bacteria
Description: partial 16S ribosomal RNA
Rfam family: Bacterial small subunit ribosomal RNA
Source: RNAcentral
GUCCACGCCGUAAACGUUGGGCACUAGGUGUGGGUUCCAACCAACGGAAUCCGUGCCGUAGCUAACGCAUUAAGUGCCCCGCCUGGGUAGUACGGCCGCAAGGCUAAAACUCAAAGGAAUUGACGGGGGCCCGCACAAGCUGCUGAGCAUGUUGCUUAAUUCGAGGCAACGCGAAGAACCUUACCUGGGUUUGACAUGUAGGGAAAAGCCGUAGAGAUACGGUGUCCUUCGGGGCCCGUACACAGGUGGUGCAUGGCUGUCGU